Syzygium oleosum is the source of this 781-nucleotide long non-coding RNA. RefSeq lists it as uncharacterized. Lineage: Eukaryota; Viridiplantae; Streptophyta; Magnoliopsida; Myrtales; Myrtaceae. The transcript has 2 exons. The record is from RefSeq and is a predicted model, not a curated record.
CUGGCAAUUCCACGUCAGCACAAAAUUCACGUCAGAAGCUGACAUGGAAUAACUCCAAAAAACGUCGACGUUCUUGCUCUGAAUAUUGAGGGAAAAUUAGGAUUUCCUUUGCUUCGUCUUCUUCAAUUCGCUUUCAAAGAUCGACAAAAAAAAAAAAUCGCGCUCGAAGGGACAACACCGCUUGGUUGCUCCCUCCAUCAGGUUCGUUCUCUACGCCACGAAGCCAGAGCCAGCUAGCUUCUCCAUCCCCUUCUCCGUGGGUUAGCCUCUCUAUCGUUUCGCUCGAAGAAAUUGAUUGCGGACAGGAGGGAUUCCUCCGUAAAUCGACCGAGUCGUGGACUCCAAAACGCUCGGUCUCUUCCUAUACAAGCUCGAGCUUGGCCUCUCGGUGGAGAGGUGGCGGAAACUGCAAUUGAUGUGAGAAUGCUUUCUCAGAACUUACGAGAUCAAUUUGAGAACACAUUGAAGGCCUUGAAAGAGAAGGAAAAGGAGCAAAGGUGCCCGAGCUUGAGUCAAAGCCGACUGCAGCUGUGAUAUGAAGGAUGCUGAAAAACCUUUAUUGACACUGGUGCUUUGAGAAAGCAUUCUCACAUCCAUGGCAUCUUUUAGUAGGGGUUGAGUGAAAUGAAAUUGUGUUUUAGAUGAUGCGGAGCAUCUUGUAGCUGUAUUUUUAGAUCUCUCAUAUUCUCUUUUCGAUUUAUUUGUUUCUAAUGUUGGUGAAAGACAUAUUGAGUUGUAAUCCUUGUUGAUCUUGAAAUACAAAAGUUACCGAAUUAGUUGA